This 485-nucleotide ribosomal RNA is filed under the name uncultured bacterium. RNAcentral describes it as "partial 16S ribosomal RNA". It matches the Rfam family "Bacterial small subunit ribosomal RNA", at positions 30 to 506 of the family's 1533-position model. The record is from RNAcentral.
AUUGAACGCUGGCGGCAUGCCUUACACAUGCAAGUCGAACGGCAGCACGGGUGCUUGCCCCUGGUGGCGAGUGGCGAACGGGUGAGUAAUACAUCGGAACAUGUCCUGUAGUGGGGGAUAGCCCGGCGAAAGCCGGAUUAAUACCGCAUACGAUCUACGGAUGAAAGCGGGGGACCUUCGGGCCUCGCGCUAUAGGGUUGGCCGAUGGCUGAUUAGCUAGUUGGUGGGGUAAAGGCCUACCAAGGCGACGAUCAGUAGCUGGUCUGAGAGGACGACCAGCCACACUGGGACUGAGACACGGCCCAGACUCCUACGGGAGGCAGCAGUGGGGAAUUUUGGACAAUGGGCGAAAGCCUGAUCCAGCAAUGCCGCGUGUGUGAAGAAGGCCUUCGGGUUGUAAAGCACUUUUGUCCGGAAAGAAAUCCUUGGCCCUAAUACGGUCGGGGGAGGACGGUACCGGAAGAAUAAGCACCGGCUAACUACGU